UGUGGGUGGAUUAGUGGCGAACGGGUGAGUAACACGUGAGUAACCUGCCCUUAACUCUGGGAUAAGCCUGGGAAACUGGGUCUAAUACCGGAUAUGACUCCUCAUCGCAUGGUGGGGGGUGGAAAGCUUUAUUGUGGUUUUGGAUGGACUCGCGGCCUAUCAGCUUGUUGGUGAGGUAAUGGCUCACCAAGGCGACGACGGGUAGCCGGCCUGAGAGGGUGACCGGCCACACUGGGACUGAGACACGGCCCAGACUCCUACGGGAGGCAGCAGUGGGGAAUAUUGCACAAUGGGCGAAAGCCUGAUGCAGCGACGCCGCGUGAGGGAUGACGGCCUUCGGGUUGUAAACCUCUUUCAGUAGGGAAGAAGCGAAAGUGACGGUACCUGCAGAAGAAGCGCCGGCUAACUACGUGCCAGCAGCCGCGGUAAUACGUAGGGCGCAAGCGUUAUCCGGAAUUAUUGGGCGUAAAGAGCUCGUAGGCGGUUUGUCGCGUCUGCCGUGAAAGUCCGGGGCUCAACUCCGGAUCUGCGGUGGGUACGGGCAGACUAGAGUGAUGUAGGGGAGACUGGAAUUCCUGGUGUAGCGGUGAAAUGCGCAGAUAUCAGGAGGAACACCGAUGGCGAAGGCAGGUCUCUGGGCAUUAACUGACGCUGAGGAGCGAAAGCAUGGGGAGCGAACAGGAUUAGAUACCCUGGUAGUCCAUGCCGUAAACGUUGGGCACUAGGUGUGGGGGACAUUCCACGUUUUCCGCGCCGUAGCUAACGCAUUAAGUGCCCCGCCUGGGGAGUACGGCCGCAAGGCUAAAACUCAAAGGAAUUGACGGGGGCCCGCACAAGCGGCGGAGCAUGCGGAUUAAUUCGAUGCAACGCGAAGAACCUUACCAAGGCUUGACAUGAACCGGAAAUACCUGGAAACAGGUGCCCCGCUUGCGGUCGGUUUACAGGUGGUGCAUGGUUGUCGUCAGCUCGUGUCGUGAGAUGUUGGGUUAAGUCCCGCAACGAGCGCAACCCUCGUUCUAUGUUGCCAGCGCGUUAUGGCGGGGACUCAUAGGAGACUGCCGGGGUCAACUCGGAGGAAGGUGGGGACGACGUCAAAUCAUCAUGCCCCUUAUGUCUUGGGCUUCACGCAUGCUACAAUGGCCGGUACAAAGGGUUGCGAUACUGUGAGGUGGAGCUAAUCCCAAAAAGCCGGUCUCAGUUCGGAUUGGGGUCUGCAACUCGACCCCAUGAAGUCGGAGUCGCUAGUAAUCGCAGAUCAGCAACGCUGCGGUGAAUACGUUCCCGGGCCUUGUACACACCGCCCGUCAAGUCACGAAAG
This 1318-nucleotide ribosomal RNA is filed under the name Arthrobacter sp. RNAcentral's name for it is "bacterial SSU rRNA". It matches the Rfam family "Bacterial small subunit ribosomal RNA", at positions 82 to 1410 of the family's 1533-position model. The record is from RNAcentral. Lineage: Bacteria; Bacillati; Actinomycetota; Actinomycetes; Micrococcales; Micrococcaceae.